RNAcentral lists this ribosomal RNA (204 nucleotides) under Triticum aestivum (bread wheat). RNAcentral's name for it is "partial small subunit ribosomal RNA". The record is from RNAcentral. Lineage: Eukaryota; Viridiplantae; Streptophyta; Magnoliopsida; Poales; Poaceae.
AUGUGCCUGUCAAAGAGAGAGGGAGGCAUGGGGUUUAGAAAUUAUGAAGCUUUUAACCAGGCCCUCCUCGGCAAGCAAGCCUGGAGGAUCUUGCAAGUCACAAAAUCCCUAUGUGCUAGGGUUUUACGAGCUAGAUAUUUCAAAGAAUCGUCGAUUAUGAGUGCCACAUGCCCAGCCAAUGGAUCCUUCACCUUCAGGAGCAUC